GGUCACCUCUCCGUUGGUGUCGGUAAACGUCGAGUUUCUCCCAUUCGUCCGUUGACGUAUGGUUGAGUCUUCCCAUUCAUCCGUUGAUGUCUGGUCACCUCUCUGUUGGUGUCGGUAAACGUCGAGUCCCAUUCGUCCGUUGACGUAUGGUUGAGUCUUCCCAUUCAUCCGUUGAUGUCUGGUCACCUCUCUGUUGGUGUCGGUAAACGUCGAGUUUCUCCCAUUCGUCCGUUGACGUAUGGUUGAGUCUUCC
Molecule: long non-coding RNA, 253 nt
Filed under: Lathyrus oleraceus (garden pea)
Lineage: Eukaryota; Viridiplantae; Streptophyta; Magnoliopsida; Fabales; Fabaceae
Description: Pisum sativum (pea) long non-coding RNA (PSAT_LNC022075)
Source: RNAcentral